Molecule: ribosomal RNA, 117 nt
Filed under: Candidatus Margulisbacteria bacterium GWF2_38_17
Lineage: Bacteria; Bacillati; Candidatus Margulisiibacteriota
Also listed under: 1 other name
Source: RNAcentral
UAUGGUGUCUAUAGCGAGGGUGUCACACCUGUUCCCAUUCCGAACACAGCAGUUAAGCCCCUCAGCGCUGAUGGUACUGCCUGCGAAAGUUGGUGGGAGAGUAAGACGAUGCCAAGG